This 253-nucleotide ribosomal RNA is filed under the name uncultured bacterium. RNAcentral describes it as "partial 16S ribosomal RNA". It matches the Rfam family "Bacterial small subunit ribosomal RNA", at positions 524 to 776 of the family's 1533-position model. The record is from RNAcentral.
UACGGGGGGGGCAAGCGUUGUUCGGAAUUACUGGGCGUAAAGGGCGCGUAGGCGGCUUUAUAAGUCGGGGGUGAAAGCCUGUGGCUCAACCACAGAAUUGCCUUCGAUACUGUAGAGCUUGAGACCGGAAGAGGUUAGUGGAACUGCGAGUGUAGAGGUGAAAUUCGUAGAUAUUCGCAAGAACACCAGUGGCGAAGGCGGCUGACUGGUCCGGAUCUGACGCUGAGGCGCGAAAGCGUGGGGAGCAAACAGG